RNAcentral lists this ribosomal RNA (253 nucleotides) under uncultured bacterium. RNAcentral describes it as "partial 16S ribosomal RNA". It matches the Rfam family "Bacterial small subunit ribosomal RNA", at positions 524 to 776 of the family's 1533-position model. The record is from RNAcentral.
UACGGAGGGUGCAACCGUUGCUCGGAAUCAUUGGGCGUAAAGCGCACGUAGGCGGUCGGCUAUGUCGGAUGUGAAAGCCUCGGGCUUAACCCGAGAAGGGCAUCCGAAACUGGCUGGCUUGAGUACGGAAGAGGGUCUCGGAAUUCCCGGUGUAGAGGUGAAAUUCGUAGAUAUCGGGAGGAACACCAGUGGCGAAGGCGGAGACCUGGGCCGAUACUGACGCUGAGGUGCGAAAGCGUGGGGAGCAAACAGG